UACGUAGGGACCAAGCGUUGUCCGGAAUCAUUGGGCGUAAAGCGCGCGUAGGUGGCCAUUUAAGUCCGCUGUGAAAGUCAGAGGCUCAACCUUUGAAAGCCGGUGGAUACUGGAUGGCUAGAGUACGGAAGAGGCGAGUGGAAUUCCUGGUGUAGCGGUGGAAUGCGCAGAUAUCAGGAAGAACACCCGUGGCGAAGGCGGCUCCCUGGGACGGUACUGACGCUGAGACGCGAAAGCGUGGGGAGCGAACAGG
Molecule: ribosomal RNA, 253 nt
Filed under: uncultured bacterium
Lineage: Bacteria
Description: partial 16S ribosomal RNA
Rfam family: Bacterial small subunit ribosomal RNA
Source: RNAcentral